UCAGUAUCAGUGAUGACAUGCUCAAUUUGAUGGCUCUGUGCUACGGGGCCUCCUCUGGACACAUGACGCUGGAGAGCUUCAUCAGUCUCAUUCUUCGCUUGGACUGCAUGUACAGAAUCUUUAAACAACUGUCUAAUGGAAAAGCCAUGAAUCUUCAAGAGUCAGAGUGGAUCUACAUUUCAAUGUACACUUAACCCAACAAGGGAGAUGGAUGGUACAAAAUCAUCAGGACAUACAGGAGUACAUAUUUCAAAAGAGUGUUUUCUUUUCAUUUGUCAAAUUGCAUAUUAGAAAACAAAGAUGUAUUCCUCUGCGAAUGAGCCAUUAGACAUUAUCUAACUAAAGAGCAUUUUCUUUUUACUACUUUGUUAAUGCAUUGCAUUGUGAAAACAUUACAUAACCAAUCUUAUAACAAAAAGCAGAAGC
Sander lucioperca (pikeperch) is the source of this 426-nucleotide long non-coding RNA. RefSeq lists it as uncharacterized. The record is from RefSeq and is a predicted model, not a curated record. Lineage: Eukaryota; Metazoa; Chordata; Actinopteri; Perciformes; Percidae. The transcript has 3 exons.